CGCGCGCGUGGGCGCGCACACACACAAAAGAUCAAUGUAAAACCAACUUAAACUCAUGAAAACACAUAACUACAUUUAUAACCUUAAGAUUAUUAUAUAAAUUGAUUAGAUUAAAAAGGUACACACUAAAACUUUACACCCUUGUCCAUUGUAUCAUUUAUACAAAAGGUUAUAUGGGUUUGAGAUUUCAUUUUGAAGGUGAAAAUGAAUUUUGCCAAAAAGGACUUAUUGAUUUAUGAUGAUGGGAAAUGAGUUUUUAAAAAAGUGUUUGGAUUAGUUUUUUAGUGAUAAAAGUCAAUUAGUUUGGCAGAAAAUUAUCUUUUGUUUGUUUUUUAUCCUAAAAAGUUAUAAGUCUUUUCAAAAAGUAACAAUUUGUUUCUUCUUGAAAACUCCUUUUCAAAUGUUAAAUAAAAAGGAGUUUUAAAAGUCCUUAUUAGAUAUCCAAACACUUUUUUUUCUCAAAAGUUUUUAGAUAAACACCCAAACACGCUCUAAGAACUUUAAAAACUAUCCAUUUCAUUGAUUUUCUCCUAUUUUCAGUCGUAGCUACUAAAAUUAAGGAACUAAACAAUGAAAUCAAAAGGAAAGAAAACAAUAAAUUAAAUGUUUGCUGCCCUACAUCCAAUAUAAUGAUCGGAAGAGGCCAAAAGAAGGGGAAAGACGAUGUGUGUUUGUGUGAUGUGUUCCUGUAAUCGGAAGGAAAAAGAGGCGCCGCCGUCGGCGAUCAAUGCCUAAUUCCAAUACAACCAUACGAUCAAUGCCCCCCAUGUAUGGCUUUAUCGAUUGCAUUUGGGUAUUUUAUUUUUCUUGAUGUCGUACUCCACCAGAUGCGAACAGUUUUACUUGAUAUCUCAUUGGAAAUGAAGAACAAUUUAUUGCUUACAAGAUGAGUGAGCCAGUAGCAGUUGUUGUGAAUAAUAAAGUAAGGAUGCUUGUAUUAUGAGAAGAAGAGGAAGGAUGAACUUGUUGCAUGAUGAAUGUAAUGUUACACUGUACUUCAUUAAUCUAGUAAGAUUGAUGAAAAAUAGGUAUUUUCAAGCUGGAACAUAGAAUUUACUGAUUUGAAAUGUUUAAUUUUUAGUUUCAAUGGUUUCUCAUUUGCAAUUGUAGCUUUUGCAAUCUUAUAUGGAUGAAUGGUCAUCUUAUUUUAUUUGGUAAAGUUAAGUUCUUUA
Molecule: long non-coding RNA, 1172 nt
Organism: Lactuca sativa (garden lettuce)
Lineage: Eukaryota; Viridiplantae; Streptophyta; Magnoliopsida; Asterales; Asteraceae
Source: RefSeq, a predicted model, not a curated record